This 870-nucleotide ribosomal RNA is filed under the name uncultured bacterium. Its description in RNAcentral is "bacterial SSU rRNA". It matches the Rfam family "Bacterial small subunit ribosomal RNA", at positions 31 to 892 of the family's 1533-position model. The record is from RNAcentral.
GAACGCUGGCGGCGGGCUUAACACAUGCAAGUCGAAGGAGAAGGUAGGUGCUUGCACUUACUGGAGACUGGCGGACGGGUGAGUAACGCGUAGAUAACCUGCCUAUAUCUGGGGGAUAACAUUCCGAAAGGGAUGCUAAUACCGCAUAAUGCAGCGGGGCUGCAUGGCCACAGUUGUUAAAGGUUUCGGCCGGAUAUAGAGGGGUCUGCGUACUAUUAGUUAGUUGGUGAGGUAACGGCUUACCAAGGCGAUGAUAGUUAGGGGGUCUGAGAGGAUGAUCCCCCACACUGGGACUGAGACACGGCCCAGACUCCUACGGGAGGCAGCAGUGAGGAAUCUUGCGCAAUGGAGGAAACUCUGACGCAGCCACGCCGCGUGCCGGAAGACGGCCCUAUGGGUUGUAAACGGCUUUUGAAAGGGAAGAACGCCCGGGUUUCGACCUGGGGUGACGGUACCUUUUGAAUAAGCACCGGCUAACUCCGUGCCAGCAGCCGCGGUAAUACGGAGGGUGCAAGCGUUGUCCGGAAUCAUUGGGUGUAAAGGGUGCGUAGGUGGGAGCCUAAGUCUGUGGUGAAAUCUUGCCGCUUAACGGUAAAAUUGCCAUGGAUACUGGGUUUCUUGAGUACAGAAGAGGUCGGUGGAAUUCGUAGUGUAGCGGUGAAAUGCGUAGAUAUCGGGAGGAACACCAGUGGCGAAGGCGGCUUGCUGGACCAACACUGACGCUGAGGCACGAAAGCGUGGGUAGCAAACAGGAUUAGAUACCCUGGUAGUCCACGCCCUAAACGAUGAGAACUGGUCGUUCGGUGCAUUUACGCGCUGAGUGACGAAGCUAACGCGUUAAGUUCUCCGCCUGGGGAGUACGACCGCAAG